GACGAACGCUGGCGGCGUGCUUAACACAUGCGAGUCGAACGAUGAAGCGGGUGCUUGCACUCGUGGAUUAGUGGCGAACGGGCGAGUAACACGUGAGUAACCUGUCCUUUUCUUUGGGAUAACGGCUGGAAACGGCUGCUAAUACUGGAUAUUCAGGCUGCAUCGCAUGGUGUGGUUUGGAAAGGUUUUUUCUGGGAUUGGGUGGGCUCGCGGCCUAUCAGCUUGUUGGUGGGGUGAUGGCUUACCAAGGCUUUGACGGGUAGCCGGCCUGAGAGGGUGGUCGGUCGCACUGGGACUGAGAUACGGCCCAGACUCCUACGGGAGGCAGCAGUGGGGAAUAUUGCACAAUGGACGAAAGUUUGAUGCAGCGACGCCGCGUGGAGGGUGUAGGCCUUCGGGUUGUGAACUCCUUUGUCUCGCGAAAAAGGCACAGUUUUGGCUGUGUUGAUGGUAGUGGGGGAAGAAGCGCCGGCUAACUACGUG
RNAcentral lists this ribosomal RNA (483 nucleotides) under uncultured bacterium. RNAcentral's name for it is "partial 16S ribosomal RNA". It matches the Rfam family "Bacterial small subunit ribosomal RNA", at positions 28 to 507 of the family's 1533-position model. The record is from RNAcentral.